AGAGUUUGAUCAUGGCUCAGAUUGAACGCUGGCGGCAUGCCUAACACAUGCAAGUCGCACGCGAAAGCGGGGCAACCCGCAAGUAGAGUGGCGGACGGGUGAGUAACGCGUAGGAAUCUACCUCGUAGUGGGGGACAACCCGGCGAAAGCCGGGCUAAUACCGCAUACGAUCCAUGGAUGAAAGCAGGGGACCGCAAGGCCUUGCGCUAUGAGAUGAGCCUGCGUCGGAUUAGCUAGUUGGUGAGGUAACGGCCCACCAAGGCGACGAUCCGUAGCUGGUUUGAGAGAACGACCAGCCACACCGGAACUGAGACACGGUCCGGACUCCUACGGGAGGCAGCAGUGGGGAAUAUUGGACAAUGGGGGCAACCCUGAUCCAGCAAUGCCGCGUGUGUGAAGAAGGCCUUCGGGUUGUAAAGCACUUUCGGUGGGGACAAACAAGGCGGAGCUAACAUCUUCGUCCCUGAUGGUACCCAAAGAAGAAGCACCGGCUAACUCUGUGCCAGCAGCCGCGGUAAUACAGAGGGUGCAAGCGUUAAUCGGAAUUACUGGGCGUAAAGCGUGCGUAGGUGGUUUGUUAAGUCAGGUGUGAAAUCCUCGGGCUCAACCCGGGAACUGCGCUUGAUACUGACAGACUCGAGUGUGGUAGAGGAUAGUGGAAUUCCCGGUAGCGGUGAAAUGCGUAGAUAUCGGGAGGAACAUCAGUGGCGAAGGCGGCUAUCUGGACCAACACUGACACUGAGGUACGAAAGCGUGGGUAGCAAACAGGAUUAGAUACCCUAGUAGUCC
RNAcentral lists this ribosomal RNA (789 nucleotides) under uncultured bacterium. Its description in RNAcentral is "bacterial SSU rRNA". It matches the Rfam family "Bacterial small subunit ribosomal RNA", at positions 8 to 796 of the family's 1533-position model. The record is from RNAcentral.